Molecule: ribosomal RNA, 315 nt
Filed under: Dendropsophus sarayacuensis (Shreve's Sarayacu treefrog)
Lineage: Eukaryota; Metazoa; Chordata; Amphibia; Anura; Hylidae
Description: partial 12S small subunit ribosomal RNA
Source: RNAcentral
AGUGCCUAAGUUAAAGGAAGCACAUUGCUCUUCUUUUACUUCUAAAUCCGCCUUUCGACCAGGUUUCAUAAAGUCUUUCGUGUUGUCUAAAAUAGACAGUGUAGCCCAUCUCUUUCCACUUCAUAUGCUGCACCUUGACCUGACGUAUUGGUGUAGGGCAUUAAGCUCACUAAUAAGCGCUCACGGGGUAAGCUGACGACGGAGGUAUACAGGCUGAGAGGCUAGGAGUGGUGAGGUAAAGCGGGGGUUAUCGAUUAUAGGACAGGCUCCUCUAGGUGGAUUUGGGGUACCGUCAAGUCCCUUGGGUUUUAAGCU